GGUCAGGAUUAUUUGGGUUUGUUUGACAGCUACGUAAUGUUGUUCCAGGCGGCAGCGUUACGGUUGCCAUGGUUACAGGGUGACGCGCUCUCUCUCUGCGUGUUUCCUGGGUGAGAGAGCGCUUUUUUGUUGUUGUUGUUGUGCUAAGCUAAAAGGCAGAAUGCUACAGGCAUAGCGCUAAAGAAUGUAGCCUGAUGGGCAGUGUAGUCCGUGCUGCAGGGAGAAUGGACUACCAUACCCGUUAUGUGUCUGUGAGCGAGGGAGGGAGAGAAAGGAAAGUCCGAGCUGUCACGGAGCAAAAACGGGAGCUGGAAGCAUGUAAAUAUAAUAAUAACCACUGCAGCCAAGAAGAGUGCCUGACGAGCCCAUUUAUCAGUUGUGUUACUUCAGUAUGUCAGUGAAAAACUCCGUGUAAAUUCAGACACGUGAGGUUGAGCUGAAGAGAAUGAUACCAAACAAACGAGGCAAAAAAAGAAAAACUUCCUCUAGAUCCGCCCCUGGACCUGCUGCCUCACAGAUUACACCUCAGGCUCAUCUGUCAGUCUCCCCACACUGGACCAGCUCACUGAUACCUGAGGAAGCAGGAGUCUCAUCCUCUUCCUCAAACCUUCUCACAGCCAUCACUUCAUCAAUGUUCGCCAACCGUGCAAACGGGCGCGCAGCAACCGGUAUGGCGCCAAAGUACUUACCCCCGACAGAGCCUGUCCCCCUGUCCCAAUCAUGGACAAACAGUAUUCCCACAUUCUUGAAAUGUGUUUUACAAGAAUAAAACAGACGUUUUCUCCAGUG
Oreochromis aureus is the source of this 789-nucleotide long non-coding RNA. Lineage: Eukaryota; Metazoa; Chordata; Actinopteri; Cichliformes; Cichlidae. The record is from Ensembl.